GGUCUGAGAGGAUGAUCAGCCACACUGGGACUGAGACACGGCCCAGACUCCUACGGGAGGCAGCAGUGGGGAAUAUUGGACAAUGGGCGAAAGCCUGAUCCAGCAAUGCCGCGUGAGUGAUGAAGGCCUUAGGGUUGUAAAGCUCUUUUACCCGGGAAGAUAAUGACUGUACCGGGAGAAUAAGCCCCGGCUAACUCCGUGCCAGCAGCCGCGGUAAUACGGAGGGGGCUAGCGUUGUUCGGAAUUACUGGGCGUAAAGCGCACGUAGGCGGCUUUGUAAGUCAGAGGUGAAAGCCUGGAGCUCAACUCCAGAACUGCCUUUGAGACUGCAUCGGUUGAAUCCAGGAGAGGUGA
RNAcentral lists this ribosomal RNA (354 nucleotides) under bacterium LimB-100-J-209. Its description in RNAcentral is "bacterial SSU rRNA". It matches the Rfam family "Bacterial small subunit ribosomal RNA", at positions 289 to 660 of the family's 1533-position model. The record is from RNAcentral.